GACGAACGCUGGCGGCGUGCUUAACACAUGCAGGUCGAACGGAAAGGCCCUGCUUUUGUGGGGUGCUCGAGUGGCGAACGGGUGAGUAACACGUGAGUAACCUGCCCUUGACUUUGGGAUAACUUCAGGAAACUGGGGCUAAUACCGGAUAGGAGCUCCUGCUGCAUGGUGGGGGUUGGAAAGUUUCGGCGGUUGGGGAUGGACUCGCGGCUUAUCAGCUUGUUGGUGGGGUAGUGGCUUACCAAGGCUUUGACGGGUAGCCGGCCUGAGAGGGUGACCGGCCACAUUGGGACUGAGAUACGGCCCAGACUCCUACGGGAGGCAGCAGUGGGGAAUAUUGCACAAUGGGCGGAAGCGUGAUGCAGCAACGCCGCGUGCGGGAUGACGGCCUUCGGGUUGUAAACCGCUUUCGCCUGUGACGAAGCGUGAGUGACGGUAAUGGGUAAAGAAGCACCGGCUAACUACGUG
Molecule: ribosomal RNA, 468 nt
Filed under: uncultured bacterium
Lineage: Bacteria
Description: partial 16S ribosomal RNA
Rfam family: Bacterial small subunit ribosomal RNA
Source: RNAcentral